UCGGGAAUUUUGGGCAAUGGGCGAAAGCCUGACCCAGCAACGCCGCGUGAGGGAUGAAGUAUUUCGGUAUGUGAACCUCGAAAGAAUGGGAAGAAUAAAUGACGGUACCAUUUAUAAGCUCCGGCUAACUACGUGCCAGCAGCCGCGGUAAUACGUAGGGAGCAAGCGUUGUUCGGAUUUACUGGGCGUAAAGGGCGCGUAGGCGGCGCGGUAAGUCACUUGUGAAAUCUCUGAGCUUAACUCAGAACGGCCAAGUGAUACUGCUGUGCUAGAGUGCGGAAGAGGCAACCGGAAUUCUUGGUGUAGCGGUGAAAUGCGUAGAUAUCAAGAGGAACACCUGAGGCGAAGGCGGGUUGCUGGGCCGACACUGACGCUGAUGCGCGAAAGCCAGGGGAGCAAACG
This 402-nucleotide ribosomal RNA is filed under the name uncultured bacterium. RNAcentral's name for it is "bacterial SSU rRNA". It matches the Rfam family "Bacterial small subunit ribosomal RNA", at positions 355 to 774 of the family's 1533-position model. The record is from RNAcentral.